UCCUGACUGACCGAUAGUGAACCAGUACCGUGAGGGAAAGGCGAAAAGAACCCCGGCGAGGGGAGUGAAAAAGAACCUGAAACCGUGUACGUACAAGCAGUGGGAGCACGCUUAGGCGUGUGACUGCGUACCUUUUGUAUAAUGGGUCAGCGACUUAUAUUCUGUAGCAAGGUUAACCGAAUAGGGGAGCCGAAGGGAAACCGAGUCUUAACUGGGCGUUAAGUUGCAGGGUAUAGACCCGAAACCCGGUGAUCUAGCCAUGGGCAGGUUGAAGGUUGGGUAACACUAACUGGAGGACCGAACCGACUAAUGUUGAAAAAUUAGCGGAUGACUUGUGGCUGGGGGUGAAAGGCCAAUCAAACCGGGAGAUAGCUGGUUCUCCCCGAAAGCUAUUUAGGUAGCGCCUCGUGAAUUCAUCUCCGGGGGUAGAGCACUGUUUCGGCAAGGGGGUCAUCCCGACUUACCAACCCGAUGCAAACUGCGAAUACCGGAGAAUGUUAUCACGGGAGACACACGGCGGGUGCUAACGUCCGUCGUGAAGAGGGAAACAACCCAGACCGCCAGCUAAGGUCCCAAAGUCAUGGUUAAGUGGGAAACGAUGUGGGAAGGCCCAGACAGCCAGGAUGUUGGCUUAGAAGCAGCC
Molecule: ribosomal RNA, 643 nt
Filed under: Shigella sonnei
Lineage: Bacteria; Pseudomonadati; Pseudomonadota; Gammaproteobacteria; Enterobacterales; Enterobacteriaceae
Description: partial 23S ribosomal RNA
Rfam family: Bacterial large subunit ribosomal RNA
Source: RNAcentral